CGACGCCAUUUUAUCUUCAUGCGACCAAGACGGUUUACAGUCUUAAGUUCGUGAGGUGUAGAGAUGCAACGUUAGCCUGCGUGAAAGUUUCUAAUGCGGGCUCGAUUUCCUGAAAUAGGAUCCUCUCUCCUUCAUUCCCGCCGAGGUUUUACUACGA
Molecule: long non-coding RNA, 157 nt
Organism: Onychostoma macrolepis
Lineage: Eukaryota; Metazoa; Chordata; Actinopteri; Cypriniformes; Cyprinidae
Exons: 3
Source: RefSeq, a predicted model, not a curated record